This 464-nucleotide ribosomal RNA is filed under the name uncultured bacterium. RNAcentral's name for it is "partial 16S ribosomal RNA". It matches the Rfam family "Bacterial small subunit ribosomal RNA", at positions 355 to 809 of the family's 1533-position model. The record is from RNAcentral.
UGGGGAAUAUUGCACAAUGGGCGCAAGCCUGAUGCAGCCAUGCCGCGUGUGUGAAGAAGGCCUUCGGGUUGUAAAGCACUUUCAGCGAGGAGGAAGGUGGUGAGCUUAGUACGCUCAUCAAUUGACGUUACUCGCAGAAGAAGCACCGGCUAACUCCGUGCCAGCAGCCGCGGUAAUACGGAGGGUGCAAGCGUUAAUCGGAAUUACUGGGCGUAAAGCGCACGCAGGCGGUUUGUUAAGUCAGAUGUGAAAUCCCCGGGCUCAACCUGGGAACUGCAUUUGAAACUGGCAAGCUAGAGUCUCGUAGAGAGGGGUAGAAUUCCAGGUGUAGCGGUGAAAUGCGUAGAGAUCUGGAGGAAUACCGGUGGCGAAGGCGGCCCCCCUGGACGAAGACUGACGCUCAGGUGCGAAAGCGUGGGGCAGCAAACAGGAUUAAAUACCCUGGUAGUCCACGCUGUAAAGCG